RNAcentral lists this long non-coding RNA (523 nucleotides) under Callithrix jacchus (white-tufted-ear marmoset). RNAcentral's name for it is "lncRNA (ENSCJAG00000052592.2)". Lineage: Eukaryota; Metazoa; Chordata; Mammalia; Primates; Cebidae. The record is from RNAcentral.
ACACCUUUUGCUCUUGCUUUUUGGUUUUAUUUUGUUUUGCAAAACAGGGGAGUAGUGACUUCCGGACUAGGCUUUCUGCCUUGUGCCAGAGAGCCACAGUACACUGUUUUUAUUUUUAUUUUUUGGUAAGACUUGCAAUGAGAGGAACUUAGAAUAUAAAAUAUUCAUUUCUUUUAAACAAAACCAUUUCUUUUUCUUUUAAAUAGAUAUGUGAUCAUUUAGCACACGGGUGUUAAGUUCAUUCUUGCUGCAAAAGAAGGCCAUUGUAUCUCCUGACCCUGAAAGCAAGGAAGUAUUUGAAGCCCAGGGGAUUGUGGUGAAAAAGACAAACACUGCCCCAUCUGUCCUGAAACAGACAUUUCAGAGGAGGGAAAUGGAUGAUAAACAGGUAAGUAAAUACUGUAGGUAAACAGAAUGGUUUCAAAUCACAAUAAGUCCCAUGAAAUAAACACACAGACUGUGUCACAGGACUUUCAGCUGAGACCCCUUUGAGAUGCAGUGACUUCCCAUGUUUGCCUGAAAG